Molecule: long non-coding RNA, 489 nt
Organism: Anthonomus grandis grandis
Lineage: Eukaryota; Metazoa; Arthropoda; Insecta; Coleoptera; Curculionidae
Exons: 2
Source: RefSeq, a predicted model, not a curated record
UUAAAAUAGAUUAAUAUUCUUGAUACACCAAAUUUUGUAUAAUUACAGAUCUGAUCAUUCAUCAUCAACAAUAACUGCAUCUGAGAAUUAUAGUUCUACAGUAACCGUGGAGUCUAGGUCAACAAUUACUAUUUCUCAUCCAAGCCGUUUUUGUUUAACUGCUACACAUUCCCUGACUCUGCCAAGGAAAAGGGUAAAAUCAAAAUGAUAUCCUGAGGACCUAAGCACUGAUGAUUCCACCGUUUCAAGAGCUUAAUCACUUGUCACCAGAUUAUGGAAAAAAAAUAAAGAACAAAAAAUUAAAAUUUGAAGAUUGCAACAAGCAAAUUUGCGCCAAAGAAAUUGAAUUAGAUGUCUCAAGUCAUUAUUAAAAUACUUAAGAAAUAAUAACAUGAUUUUAUGGAAAAGCCCAACAUACUACAUAUUUUAUUUGACUUGUAAAAGCACUUGUUUGUAUAUUACUACUAAUAAACUCUCUAAUCUAAUCUA